GUUGACCUGCUGCCACUCCCUCCUCCGGGGAAGCUCACACCCACGGUUCCUCGGCCGUUCCCUCGCCUGAUCGCCCCCCGUCUCCGCUACCGAUGGACGCCGUCGCCUUCUCCCCCGCUCCGAACCCCAACGCCGCGCCAUUCCCCUCCGCCUCCCCGUCCUCGCGCGCCCGACGCUUCUCCAUCCGCGGCCCGCGGCGGCGGCGCCCGCUCCCGGCCCUCCGAUCCAGCGCCUCCCCCUCCGCCUCCCACCACGACGUGGUCGUCGUGGGCGCCGGGAUCGUCGGCCUCUCCAUCGCCCGCCACCUCCUCCUCCACACCCCGCUCUCCGUCGCCGUCGCCGACGCCGCCGUCCCCUGCUCCGGCGCCACCGGCGCAGGGCAGGGGUACGUGUGGAUGUCGCACCGGACGCCCGGGAGCGACACGUGGGACCUGGCGGUGCGGAGCAAGCAGCUGUGGGAGGACCUCGCGGCCGAGAUGGACGGCCUCCGCGCCGGCGGCGCGCGCGAGAGCCUGGGGUGGAUGAAGACAGGAAGCUUAUUAGUUGGAAGAACCUCCAAAGAGCUGGCUACGCUGGAGGAGAAGAUUAAGGUUCUGUCUCAGGCAGGCAUCAAUGCGGAGUGCUUGUCUGCCUCUUCGUUGCAUGCAUUAGAACCCGCACUCUGUGUUGGAAAUGAUGGUGGUGCCAUGUUCUUACCUGAAGACCGUCAAAUCGAUGCGUUCCAGGCUGUGUCUUUGAUUGAAAAGAUCAAUAGGUCAUAUACUCCAAAAGGGAGAUAUAUGGAGCUCUACAAUGAUCCUGCCAUGUCAUUGAUAAGAUCAGAGGUUACUGGAAGGGUUGAAGGUGUCCAAACUUCUAAGAACAUCUUAUAUGGCAGAAAAGCUACUGUAGUUGCUUCUGGCGCUUGGACUCGGUCCUUAUUGCAUAGUUUCCUAGGACCAAAUUCUACACUGGAUAUUCCUGUGAAGCCACGAAAGGGUCAUCUGCUUGUGUUGGAAAAUUUUGACAUGCUAAAGCUGAAUCAUGGCAUAAUGGAGCUGGGAUAUGUUGACCAUCAGGGCGAUAAUUCACAUAGCAUACACUUGUCGUCAACAUCCAAUGAAGAUGAGCAUGACGCCGCAUCCAUAUCAAUGACAGCAACAUUAAAUACAAAAGGGCAUUUAGUUUUAGGAAGCAGCAGGGAGUUUAAAGGAUUUUCAAGGGAGGUUGAUAAAUCCAUACUGAAGAGUAUAUGGGACCGUGCAGGAGAAUUCUUUCCUGCCAUCAAUAAUGUUCAUCUUGAUAUUGACGAGGACAAAGAAAUCAGAAUUGGGCACCGCCCCUACAUGCCUGAUGGGAAGCCAGUUAUUGGAUUUGUUCCGGAUAUGUCAAAUGUUUUGAUUGCAACAGGACAUGAAGGAAGUGGACUUGCUUUGGCGCUAGGUACUGCUGAAAUGGUGACGAAUAUGAUUCUUGGUGACCCUGGAAGAGUGGACUUCACGCCUUUCUCCAUAGAAAAUAGAUUUUCAGACUGACCAGAAGCGAAACAAUGUGGUCGCCGUCGCUGCUCUCGUAGUGCCUCGCCGGCUUACUGUCUCAUGACAAGGCCACAGCUCACUGCGUCGACAUCGUGCCAGAGAGGGAUCAGUCACGCCGGCCGUCGAGAUCGUCCCAUCACAGAAUGUUCAUCCGUACAAGUAUGCGGGCAACAAUAUCGAAAUGCACGGCAUGAAUAUGUUCAAGGUGGUUGAUUACUUUUUCCUAUUCUUGCUAUUUGUUCCAGCUUAUUUUUGUUCAGAUUUAUGGACUUGUGCUUUAAUCAUAGUGGCUAUUUGCCGAAAAAGGCUUUCGCCCCGCUUUAUAUUAUAAAGCAACUGCCCAAGCCAAACAUCCAACAAGGUUCACGCACACACACACAAGUCUCACAAACAGGGGGUAUCCAAGGGUUAGUGCUGAGGGCACAGCUCAACAAGCCCUGAAAACAGAAAAAAACUCGCACACACGGAGCGCAGAAGGAGGAACUAGUCGGGCUUGGGGGGAGGGGGGGGGGGGGGGGGGGGGAGGGGGGGGGGGGGGGGGGUGGAAGCGGGGGCGCCAAGCGGAAGGCCAUCGAUCGAAGGUCGGCGAGGAGAGUGUUGAUGGCAUCCCGGUCCUGGGGGUGGCUAAGCGGCCGCCAAAGCUGCAAGUAACCACACAUUUUAAAGACUGCGUCAGUUGCACGUUGAAGAGGCACCUUCUGGAUGACAAGCUUAUUGCGAACGGUCCAAAGCAUCCAGGCAAGAACCCCCACGCAUAGCCAUCUAAUAUGGCGGUAGCGGGGAGGGGAGGCGUGGAUUUCCGCAAGCAAGUCAGGGAAGUUGGUGUUGCACCACUGGCCACCGACUGUCUCGCAGAAACAGGACCAUAGAAACUGGGCCGUGAAGCAAGAGAAGAAGAUGUGGUUAGCAUCCUCCACCGUGCCGCACAGGGGGCAGAUCCCAUCGCCAGGUCCAUUGCGCUUAAGUACCUCCACCCCAGACGGGAGGCGUCCACGGAUCCACUGCCAUAAGAUCCUGAUUUUCAGUGGCAAGUGGAUAUCCCAAAUCAGGCUAAAGGGCUCGGGGGCCGGCGAGGGGGCGAUGGCCGCGUAGAGGGAUUUAGUGGAAAAGCAGCCCGAGGGCUCCAGUCGCCAAGAUAUGGAGUCAGGGGUGUCGUCAACGUUCAUCGGGAGGAGGGCGAUGUCCUGGAGGAGGGCAUCCCAAGCGGCCAUUUCCGGCGGGCCAAAGGGGCGACGGAAGGCGAGGCGCCCUAAGUCAAUAAGGGCCGUCUCGACAGAAACCUGAGGGUCCACCGCAAUGGCAAAAAGCUCCGGGAAUCGCACGGCCAGGGGGAGGUCGCCGGUCCACCGAUCAAACCAGAACAGGGUCGCGGACCCCGUGCCAACCGAGAUGGACGUGCCGAUGCGGAGCACAGGCAACAGCUGGAUGACGGCCUGCCAAAACUGGGAGCCACCAGAUCGCUGACAGAAUGCGAGUGGCUGGCCCCGAAGGUACUUGUUCUGGAUGAUGGUGAACCAAAGGCCACCAUCGCCAUUGGCGAUGCGCCAGAGCCAACGGGUCAGGAGGGCUAUUUAUGUGGUAGGCAUAUCCAGAGGAGGGCUAUUUAUGUGGUAGGCAUACAAUUGGUACUCGUUUGUGAUUCCUCUGGAUAAGCAUUAUUGUGGGACUAUCUAGAUCAGAUCUUGCAACUCCAAAAGGUGAAGGUAAGAGUAAUAGCCCCACCAGGCAUAUCAUUGUACUUACUACUUGGAAAGGUGAAGGUCCGGAUUUAAUUAUCUUACACUAGGGCCCUUGAAAUGCUGUGAGAGUUCACUCGAGCUAGUAAAUGUUCUGAAGAAUGAGAUCCGUGAUGGACUACUGACGUUCAGAAGCAAAUGGGUUUUAGAGCUGGGCUGCAGAUAUGGGCUUCCUGGGAUAUUUUCUUGCCUGAAGGGAGCUUCAACAGUACAUUUUCAGGAUCCCAGUGCUGGAAUAAUAAGAUGCAGAACAAUCCCCAAUGUACUCGCAAAUCUCGAGCAAACUCGAGACAACCAGAGCCACCAACAAGGAAGCCCUCUUGCUCCAUCAUGGCAACAGUUGUCUCAAGACAUCCAUUUCUAUGCUGGGGAGUGGGAUGAGCUUCACACGGUCCUGUCAGUGAUACAGGAGGACGAGGUGGAUGCAUCGUCCGGCAUAGGGCUAGGGUUCUGUGAAGACGAUUUUUUGGAUGGUUGCAGCAGCCAGGAUGGGAACAAUAUCUGCCACGAAACCUCGUCAAGGCGAUCAACAAAACUGUCAGGCAGCCAUGCAUGGGAGAGGGGAAACGAGGCCUGUGCAGGAGAUGAGGGUUGAUAUGACAUAGUGUUGGUGAAUGAGAUCCCUUACUCCGCAAGUUCUCUUCAAAACCUUUAUUCACUCAUCAAAAAGUGCCUGCGGCCACCCUAUGGAGUGAUGUAUCUCACGGCGAAAAAGAACUACAUCGGCUCCAGCAGUGCGGUGCGGCAGCUCAGAGCAUUGGUCGAUGAGGAGGGCGCUUUUGGUGUGCACCUUGUUGCCGAGCCCCCCGAGAGGGAGAUCUGGAAGUUCUUCUCUAAAUAAACACAGCUCAUCACGGCUCGAAAAAAAAAACCCGACCAAGGCCGCUUGAGCCCUCAGGCCUGUAUAUAACUUAGACGAGUAGUCCGGCCAAUGUCUGGCAUUGUUUGCCAUUUUUUGAAUGUAGUGUUGAUCAUGUCAAACUAGA
Molecule: non-coding RNA, 4239 nt
Organism: Triticum urartu
Lineage: Eukaryota; Viridiplantae; Streptophyta; Magnoliopsida; Poales; Poaceae
Source: RefSeq, a predicted model, not a curated record